AUUGAACGCUGGCGGCAGGCCUAACACAUGCAAGUCGAGCGAGCGGCGGACGGGUGAGUAAUGUCUGGGAAACUGCCUGAUGGAGGGGGAUAACUACUGGAAAAGGUAGCUAAUACCGCAUACCAUCAGAUGUGCCCCGAUGGGAGUAGCUAGUAGGUGGGGUAACGGCUCACCUAGGCGCCGAUCCCUAGCUGGUCUGAGAGGAUGACCAUCCACAAUGGAACUGAGACACGGUCCAGCCUCCUACGGGAGGCAGCAGUGGGGAAUAUUGCACAAUGGGCGCAAGCCGGAUGCAGCCAUGCCGCGUGUGUGAAGAAGGCCUUCGGGUUGUAAAGAACUUUCAGCGGGUAGGCGUUACCCGCAGAAGAAGCACCGGCUAACUCCGUGCCAGCAGCCGCGGUAAUAC
RNAcentral lists this ribosomal RNA (406 nucleotides) under uncultured bacterium. Its description in RNAcentral is "partial 16S ribosomal RNA". It matches the Rfam family "Bacterial small subunit ribosomal RNA", at positions 30 to 526 of the family's 1533-position model. The record is from RNAcentral.